RNAcentral lists this small RNA (1170 nucleotides) under Rattus norvegicus (Norway rat). RNAcentral's name for it is "uncharacterized LOC102554351". Lineage: Eukaryota; Metazoa; Chordata; Mammalia; Rodentia; Muridae. The record is from RNAcentral.
CUGUUUUUUUUUUCAGCCAGUUAUGGGAACAAAGUGUUCUGCUUUCAGGGUGAAUUUCCCACCAGAACACGACCUUCAAACUCAGAAAUUGGGAAAUUUUCAAAGUGACCUGGACACAGGUUUUACAUACUAAAUAGUACUGUGAGAAUACUAAAGGUGAGAAGACUUUGGACCACAGCUUAAUCUUUAAGCAUCAGGCACAUCCUGCACUACUACAACUUGGAGAAGAAGCCACAAGGAGCACUCCCGACACAUAGAGCCCUCUCAGGGAUCUUUGCUUUGCCCUGCUGUUUGCUUGAGCAGGGAAGCUUCCUAUCCCCCAACCACUCAGCCUCAGUCUGCAUCUUGCCAGUCUCUCUCGAAAACCAUUUUUAUUUUUAAAGGUACAACAGAAAUGCCUUUUUGCUACUGUUUUAACAGUAAAUCUCUCCAGUCUGUCUCUAGUCCCAAGUGACAAUUUUAGCUGCUUCUUUUUAUGCUGAAAGUACAUUUUCCCACCCUUAUUGUGUCACAUAUCACAUUAUUUUUUAACUCACUUUCCCAGUGCCCUGAGUAUGCUGUGAGCUCUCGGGGGACACAAAGAUAGGAUGAAAGAAGGUGACAAGGAAUGGUGUCCAGCUUGCCUUUACUCUUCGGCUGUUCAGUUACUUAUCACAUAGGAGCUUCCAAAAUUUUUUAUUGAGUCAAUGAAGCAAUUAAUUACCUGUGGAGUGCGAAGAAAUAUUCAACAUUCGAAUCGUUGCUGUGGAAACCAUAUCUAGGGAUUUCUAUUGGUCUUCACAUUCAAUUGAUUUAGACUUGUUUUCCAAGUUUCUUCUGAAAGCAUUUUUACCUUCAAACAGCAGAAUCGAUAAUGUAUGUUUAAAUGCUCCGCAGCCAACACGUGUGUCUGAUCUAUUCUAUCAAAACCACCAAAAUACCCAAGGCUCUAGGGAUAAAACUAGCGAAGCUCAUAUCUAUAUAAAAAAAAGGCUUUUUGGAAAGUAUAAAUGUUCUCAUCAAAUCAGAUGCAAAAGAAGCUUCUGGGAGGCACACAGGCAUUCAGGUCCCUCUUCAGCUCUAUUUGGCUAUGAAGAUAGAGAGCCGCCUUCUCCACAAGGAAAAAUGCUGCAGACAAAAAAAAAUACUCCAUUAUUAACAUAAACAUAGAGCAAUAUCACACUUCUUAAA